UACAGGGGGCUCGAGCGUUAGUCGGAAUCACUGGGCUUAAAGGGUGCGUAGGCGGCUCGCCAAGUGCUUUGUGAAAUCCCACAGCUCAACUGUGGAACAGCAGGGCAAACUGGCGAGCUUGAGGCAGGUAGGGGCCGGAAGAACAGUUGGUGGAGCGGUGAAAUGCGUAGAUAUCAGCUGGAAUGCCGAUGGGGAAGCCGUCCGGCUGGGCCUGUCCUGACGCUGAGGCACGAAAGCGUGGGGAGCAAACAGG
Molecule: ribosomal RNA, 253 nt
Filed under: uncultured bacterium
Lineage: Bacteria
Description: partial 16S ribosomal RNA
Rfam family: Bacterial small subunit ribosomal RNA
Source: RNAcentral